This is a long non-coding RNA of Bolinopsis microptera, 870 nucleotides long. RefSeq lists it as uncharacterized. The record is from RefSeq and is a predicted model, not a curated record. NCBI's taxonomy places the organism in Eukaryota, Metazoa, Ctenophora, Tentaculata, Lobata, Bolinopsidae. The transcript is spliced from 3 exons.
AAUAAUCUAGGCUAUGAGAUUGACAAGAGUACUGUUAAAAAAGAAGCACAAAGGAGCCGGUACAGGACAGCUGAGGACCCCUAAAAAUUAUCAGAAUCCCGAAAAAAUUCAAGGAGUCCUCACUCACACUAAGGGAGUGGAGUUGAUUCCUAAAGUCCCAAAAGUUACAUUUGGAGGAGGUCUAGAGAGCAUCCAUCAAGGGACAGUGAGGCGUGUGAUACAAUUAAAAACGCCAUGGGAUGUUAAGAGAGACCUUCAGUUGGAGCAGAUAAAACGGGUUAAUGCGCACACACUUAAUAGUACACCUUCUUAUCUAAAUGAGGAAGAGGAGAGAAUAUUUAUGUCAUUACUGGAAUCUAAAUCUAUGGCCAAAAAGGCAGCUGAAAAAGAGGACUCUCCAAUACUGGACAUGCUCAAUGAGAUGGAGGGUAGGAAAAUUGAAGAUAUAGUUUGGAAAAUGAGACGAAAGAGUACCCCUCGUGAAAGUGAUUUGAAACGCAAGUACCAGCCUCGAGAGAUCAGAGCAGAUCUGUAUAAUAUUAAUGAAGGUCUUCAAGAUAACAGAGGACAACAUCGACCUGGAGAUCCCCAGUUACCGCUACUGUGAUAUUAUGUACAUUGUUAAUGUUAAAUCAGGAUUUGCUUCUAAAUUAACUGAUAAUGUAAUGAUAAUUUAUUUAAACAUAGUUGAAUAAGGUUUAAAGUUUAUACUGAUUUUUAUAUAUCAACCAAAUUCAUUGGCUUUUCUAACUGAGCGAGCAUUUCCUUAAUGAUUUAAAGAAACAUUCGAUGAGGUUGAUGCUGCCAUGAACUGAUAUGAAGUUUCAGAAUUAAUUUAUUAACUUAUUAAGUGACCAUUUUUAUUUUGAU